AUAUGUAUUUUACUGUUGUUUUUACUUGAAGCUUUCUUAGAUUUUGAAACGAAGUAAACACGUAAUGUGUGUUGCUAAUGUUGGGCCAUGUAACAUGUAAUACAUUUACGUUUUAAUGAAUAGUCUAACGAUUUAUAGUCGUUGUACUCUAUUGUUAUAAUAUGUCUUUUUGACUGAAUACAUGUUUGUUUUAUUUGUCUAUAUCUUAGAUUCGCAGCUGGACACAUCCUUCUACACUGUAUGCAAACAUGCAACAUCAUAACACACAGUACAAGGAGUCAGACUGGCAUAUGAGGAGCAAAGGAACCCAGACAGUAGCAUCGUUUCACAAUGUUUCCAUCACCAUCAUCAGUGGAUGCCUUUGCCGUCCGUAGCCUGAGAUUUCAGAUUUGCAGCAAAAAAAAUUGAUUUUCUCAUUUAUUGGAAUGCUAUGCAGGUUGUACCUUGCAGCCAUCCAUUACAAUGUCACCAAGCCGUAACAAAAGCAGGAGAGGGAAAGUACAAGGCUAUGUUCCCAAAACACACAAAUGACAUACCUUAUGUGGAUGAUGUGAUCAGGCUUGUGUUUGCUGAGGUAUUUGAAGAUAAGCUGAAGGAAACCCCGAUUCCAAUGGACCUGGCAUCACAGUUUGAGAGACCUUCAAAGGAGGACGUGAUUGCAUGCCAUCUUCAGUGCAG
This is a long non-coding RNA of Paramisgurnus dabryanus, 678 nucleotides long. RefSeq lists it as uncharacterized. Lineage: Eukaryota; Metazoa; Chordata; Actinopteri; Cypriniformes; Cobitidae. The record is from RefSeq and is a predicted model, not a curated record.